CAGUAAUACAUCCGUCAGUCACAGAAGAGAGACAUUUCAUCUGUUUACUCCACCAUUAUCUUUGUGCUGUUUGAUCGCUUGUUAAAUCUUUGCACAGUACCUGGAUAAAGAGUAUCAACAUGUGCAGGCUGACUCUAACUGCAGGU
Molecule: long non-coding RNA, 146 nt
Organism: Centropristis striata (black sea bass)
Lineage: Eukaryota; Metazoa; Chordata; Actinopteri; Perciformes; Serranidae
Exons: 3
Source: RefSeq, a predicted model, not a curated record